RNAcentral lists this ribosomal RNA (449 nucleotides) under uncultured bacterium. RNAcentral describes it as "bacterial SSU rRNA". It matches the Rfam family "Bacterial small subunit ribosomal RNA", at positions 355 to 796 of the family's 1533-position model. The record is from RNAcentral.
UCGAGGAUCUUUCGCAAUGGGCGCAAGCCUGACGAAGCGACGCCGUGUGAGUGAAGAAGGCCUUCGGGUUGUAAAGCUCUUUCGCUAGGGACCAAGAGUUUGGGAUGAAUAGUUCUGAAUUUUGAGAGUACCUGGUAAAGAAGCACCGGCUAACUCCGUGCCAGCAGCUGCGGUAAUACGGAGAGUGCAAGCAUUAAUCGGAUUUACUGGGCGUAAAGGGCGCGUAGGCGGUUUUUUAAGUUAGAUGUGAAAUUCCCGGGCUCAACCUGGGAGCUGCAUUUAAGACUGAAGAGCUAGAGGGUAAAUAGGGAAAGCGGAAUUUCAGGUGUAGCGGUGAAAUGCGUAGAUAUCUGAAGGAACACCGGUGGUGAAGACGGCUUUCUGAUUUACAACUGACGCUGAGGCGCGAAAGUAUGGGUAGCAAACAGGAUUAGAUACCCCGGUAGUCC